UCCCCCUACGGGACGCAGCAGUGGGGAAUAUUGGUCAAUGGGCGGAAGCCUGAACCAGCCAAGUCGCGUGAGGGAAUAAGGCCCUACGGGUCGUAAACCUCUUUUGCCGGGGAGCAAGGGCGGGGACGUGUCCCGGCCCGGAGAGUACCCGGAGAAAAAGCAUCGGCUAACUCCGUGCCAGCAGCCGCGUUAAUACGGAGGAUGCGAGCGUUAUCCGGAUUUAUUGGGUUUAAAGGGUGCGUAGGCGGGCUUUUAAGUCAGCGGCAAACAUUCGGGGCUCAACCCCGUCCGGUCGUUGAAACUGG
This 305-nucleotide ribosomal RNA is filed under the name uncultured bacterium. RNAcentral describes it as "bacterial SSU rRNA". It matches the Rfam family "Bacterial small subunit ribosomal RNA", at positions 334 to 636 of the family's 1533-position model. The record is from RNAcentral.